Molecule: ribosomal RNA, 1169 nt
Filed under: Campylobacter coli
Lineage: Bacteria; Pseudomonadati; Campylobacterota; Epsilonproteobacteria; Campylobacterales; Campylobacteraceae
Description: partial 23S ribosomal RNA
Rfam family: Bacterial large subunit ribosomal RNA
Source: RNAcentral
AGGUAAGCUACUAAGAGCGAAUGGUGGAUGCCUUGACUGGUAAAGGCGAUGAAGGACGUACUAGACUGCGAUAAGCUACGGGGAGCUGUCAAGAAGCUUUGAUCCGUAGAUUUCCGAAUGGGGCAACCCAAUGUAUAGAGAUAUACAUUACCUAUAUAGGAGCGAACGAGGGGAAUUGAAACAUCUUAGUACCCUCAGGAAAAGAAAUCAAUAGAGAUUGCGUCAGUAGCGGCGAGCGAAAGCGCAAGAGGGCAAACCCAGUGCUUGCACUGGGGGUUGUAGGACUGCAAUGUGCAAGAGGUGAGUUUAGCAGAACAUUCUGGAAAGUAUAGCCAUAGAGGGUGAUAGUCCCGUAUGCGAAAAACAAACCUUAGCUAGCAGUAUCCUGAGUAGGGCGGGACACGAGAAAUCCUGUCUGAAGCUGGGUCGACCACGAUCCAACCCUAAAUACUAAUACCAGAUCGAUAGUGCACAAGUACCGUGAGGGAAAGGUGAAAAGAACUGAGGUGAUCAGAGUGAAAUAGAACCUGAAACCAUUUGCUUACAAUCAUUCAGAGCCCUAUGUAGCAAUACAGGGUGAUGGACUGCCUUUUGCAUAAUGAGCCUGCGAGUUGUGGUGUCUGGCAAGGUUAAGCAAACGCGAAGCCGUAGCGAAAGCGAGUCUGAAUAGGGCGCUUAGUCAGAUGCUGCAGACCCGAAACGAAGUGAUCUAUCCAUGAGCAAGUUGAAGCUAGUGUAAGAACUAGUGGAGGACUGAACCCAUAGGCGUUGAAAAGCCCCGGGAUGACUUGUGGAUAGGGGUGAAAGGCCAAUCAAACUUCGUGAUAGCUGGUUCUCUCCGAAAUAUAUUUAGGUAUAGCGUUGUGUCGUAAUAUAAGGGGGUAGAGCACUGAAUGGGCUAGGGCAUACACCAAUGUACCAAACCCUAUCAAACUCCGAAUACCUUAUAUGUAAUCACAGCAGUCAGGCGGCGAGUGAUAAAAUCCGUCGUCAAGAGGGAAACAACCCAGACUACCAGCUAAGGUCCCUAAAUCUUACUUAAGUGGAAAACGAUGUGAAGUUACUUAAACAACCAGGAGGUUGGCUUAGAAGCAGCCAUCCUUUAAAGAAAGCGUAAUAGCUCACUGGUCUAGUGAUUUUGCGCGGAAAAUAUAACGGGGCUAAAGUAA